This 450-nucleotide ribosomal RNA is filed under the name uncultured bacterium. Its description in RNAcentral is "bacterial SSU rRNA". It matches the Rfam family "Bacterial small subunit ribosomal RNA", at positions 354 to 796 of the family's 1533-position model. The record is from RNAcentral.
GUGGGGAAUAUUGGACAAUGGGCGAAAGCCUGAUCCAGCCAUGCCGCGUGUGUGAAGAAGGUCUUCGGAUUGUAAAGCACUUUAAGUUGGGAGGAAGGGCAGUAAGUUAAUACCUUGCUGUUUUGACGUUACCGACAGAAUAAGCACCGGCUAACUUCGUGCCAGCAGCCGCGGUAAUACGAAGGGUGCAAGCGUUAAUCGGAAUUACUGGGCGUAAAGCGCGCGUAGGUGGUUUUGUAAGUUGGGGGUGAAAUCCCCGGGCUCAACCUGGGAACUGCCUCCAAAACUGCAUGACUAGAGUACGGUAGAGGGUAGUGGAAUUUCCUGUGUAGCGGUGAAAUGCGUAGAUAUAGGAAGGAACACCAGUGGCGAAGGCGACUACCUGGACUGAUACUGACACUGAGGUGCGAAAGCGUGGGGAGCAAACAGGAUUAGAUACCCCGGUAGUCC